CUCGAAGAAGUAGAAGAGUGGGAUGGAAUUGAAAGGAGAUCAGUGGGAGAAGAAGAUGCCACCACAACUUCAAUAAUAUCCAUGAUGCCACAACUUCGAUGGUUGAGAAUUAUCAAUUGCCCGUUGCUGAGAGCACUACCAGACUAUGUUUUGGCAGCGCCUCUACAGGAAUUAGACAUAAGGUGGUGCACCAUUCUAAGGAAACGUUACGGGAAGGAGGAGAUGGGUGAAGAUUGGCAAAAGAUUUCUCACUUCCCAAACAUUUAUUUUGAAUAAUAUGUAAGCCUUACCAUUUACUCUAUGUGACCUCUUUACUGUAAAAUCCAAGACCUAUCACUGAUCAUGGCAAGACUCACUCCUCUAUUUCCAGAUCCAAAAAUGUCAAGAUAUUUUUAAUUCUUUAAUUCUAUGAAUAAAAACAUAGAUAUUGAAUUUUUUUUUUAAUCUUUCAUAAAUUGAAUUCAAUUUUCGAAAACUUUCUACAAAUCUAAAUAUGGAUAUUGAAAACGACAUCAAAAUAGGAACUUUCAUAGGUUUCCACACACUCCCAUAUGCCUUGAGCUUAAGCGCAGGUGGACAUCUUUUUUUUCUUUUUCUUUUUUUCCAAGACAAAUGCUGCAACCUAUUAAUCAUCCAUGAGCCAUGUGUGCAUACCGCACGCCUCCUUACAGGGCAUCUUCACUGCCGGACUGGUGGGAUUCAUAUAGACUUCAUAUGUGCUACUUUGAGGCUCCAUAUCUCCGUUUCUAGUGUUCUUGAACUCGUCAGAGAGCUUACACUGCAUGCUAUCUAUAACAACAGAUAUCAAGCACAGACAAUAAAGCAUAAGAAAAUUACAAGACAGAAAAACCAAUUCAUCGUAAUUCAAACGCUGAAAUCUCUCAGCAUACAAGUCCAAUUUACACGCCAUUUCCCAGAUUUAGUGCUCGUGGCAGAUGCACAUGAGGUAAUCAUUUCAUGCUAUUUGAUGCUUUCUAAAGUUACCAUAUAUGUCCAUAAUACGAGUUUGAAACAGAAACUGAUGCAAACAGCCAUAUUAAUCAUCCAUGAGCCAAAAAUUAAGAACUGCAAGAGUAAAAUGAACUGACUUCUUACUGCAAAAUGUGAACAGGCAAACGGUGGAUUUGGAAAUCAAGGGGGCAAGAAAAACCUUGUAAUUCAAAUAGGUGCACAGGCUAGGUGUGACAACCCUUUUAAUUCAUGAUCAGUGUAAAAUAUCUAUGGUUGUGGUAAUGCUAAUUAGAGUUGUUGAAUUAUAUUGCAAUGCAAUUCCAUGAUGUAAAAGUAUUUUUCAACUUGGAUUAAACUCACUUAAUUAGUUUAUUAAUUUGUACAAAAAUAGUUUUAUUUCAUAAAAUCUCAUAAAAUAGAAAUUACAAAUAGUAAUUCAACUCAUAAUUUCAUGCUCUCUCUUAUAUAAAAUUUUAAUUUGAACUAAACUAUUCUUUAUAGAAUGAAGUAUUAUUGCUUUCCAUCUAGAAAUGAAACACAAUAAAUUAUUUCAUAAAACAAUACAUGCAAAAUAAUUCAAUACUACUUAUAAAAGAAAAACCAUUUUAAAGUAUUAAGUCAAAAAUUCAGGAUGUUUUAAAGUAAUCCCUAGUAAUUUUGAUUUUCUCAUAAAUCUAAUUUUAUUGAGUGAAUGAAAGAUUUCAAAUAUAUAGUACGUAGUAUAUAAAUAAUUUUCUGAACCAAAGAAAGAUUUCAAAUAUAUAGUACGUAGUAUAUAAAUAAUUUUCUGAACCAAAGAAAAAACAGAAUUUUAGGAGUGAUUUAAAAUCAUGAACUAGAAUUUAAGUAUUCAAGUUGAGCAUAUUAAAUUUGAAUUCCCAGUCGUUCAAGUGCAUGGGACACAAAUCCUUCUUCAAGAAUCGUUGUGUUUUCUUCCCCUCGGAACCCAUUAAAACAUGGAGCCCAAAAGUAUUUAGAUUGCCCAAUUCACCAAGUCAUAAUGAGAGAACCCAAGCCCAAGCAGAGUACUCUGGGCUAAUUCAUUUUAUUUAGUACUAUGAUUAUUAUAUGCACUCCAUUAAUUAUUAGUUCCACUUCAUUUUGUAGCCACGAUGAUCAAUUAUGCAUAUGACCUCACCUCAACACUAGUUUUGUACCCGCACUCUGCAAUGAGGUGCAUAUAGUGUUUUUUCAGAGCAUCAAAGCAUUGACUAAGAAAGACUGACUGAAUUGAAACAGAACGCAACGAGACUUUUGGGUUUGAAACUAAUCCAGUGAAGACAGCAAAUAACCUUCUUCUUUUUUUUUUGUAAGGGAAGGCAAAUAGAAUGAGUUUAAAGCAUAAUGACUUAAUUGCAAAAUGCAUAUGAAUGCAGUUUUUUGACAAGGGAGUUUGGUGUUCCUGAAGCAGCAACAAUGGCUGCUAAGCUACGCAUAAUUUGUUGUCUUGUUCCCAACAAUGCCAUUCUGAUCCCAAACGCUGCUGAGUCUAGCAUGCUGAUUUCCUCACUAAUUUCGAUCUGAAUUUCAAUUUCCAGAUUUCAUAACCUUAGCCCUUAUUUUAGUAACCAAACAACUCUCUUCCUAUGUUCCUGCAUCUGCAUGUCGACUCUUCACUCUCUGAUUCCUGAAUCUUGAAAAGACUCUUCCUUUGUUUUUCUAGUUGUCUUGCGUUAUGUUUCUAGCUAAAAGAAGAAAUAAGUGACUUAAAUUAUGAAAAAGUAGAAAAAGACAAUGAAAGAAGUGCCUUAAAUCACGUUAAGUUAAGAAAGGAAUGAAAAGAAAAAAAGAAGAAAGGAAGGUGAUGUAGUCCAUACAAAAUGAAUCCUUUCCUCCAGAAAAUCUUGCUCAUUUCUUGUCCUUUUCACACCCAUUUGCUCCCCUUCACAAACAAACCUCCCCAUUUAAAGGAGCUCCAAUCACGCAAACCAGCAAUCCUUCCCAACUUUUUUCCAUGACCACAGCACGCUACUGAUAUCCACACAGCCCCAGCUUCAGACAGCUUCCAUCACGCAGACCCUUUCCUGUUAACACAACCGCAGAGCCUGUAGCUGCCGCCAACAAAACCCCAGCAUCCUCUCCAUGAAUAAACCAAAACACAUCCCUGCUCAUCCACUGAUAACUCCUUAAACUACCCAGAUACAUGACUUCCAAAAGGUAUAUGAUUUUUAAAGUUAAAUGUAACCUCUAAAAGUAUGGAGAGUUGGGGACUUGAAUUAUUCUUUGCACGGUGACAAAUGAAUUCUAGAAUUUAGAUUUUUAUUUCCCAUCUAAAUAUUAAAAUAUUUGACAUUAAAGAUAUUUUAAUAUAUUUUUAAACAAAAAAAUAUAUAUAAAAAAUACUUUACAGCAUAAUUUCAAGCACCAUCAACAAAUCCAAUCAUACAACCUCAACAAAUCUGGACCAUCCAUUUUCAGACCCAAAAUCAAAGAUCAAUAUCAAACCCCAGUCCCUGCUAUGAAAACAGGAUAAAAUCACCAGAUCUCAAAAACCCAGAUAGAUAGAUGCUUGUUUAUAUUUCCAUUACACAAGAACUAAUUGGUUACUAAUUUUGGUUUGUUUAAAUUAGUUUGAAUGGCCAGAUAUAUAUUACAUAAAAUGAAGAGAAGAAAUAGAGAAGCAGGAAUUUCAGUAGAAUGCUAUAAUCAGAUGUCCAUAUCAGAUACAUUCUUAACCUACGGUCAGUAUCAAUAAAAAAUAAUUGCUAUAUAUCGAAGAAGAAAUUACUUUCCACAAAUAAUAAUCCUUAGCCUAGAACUCGGUAGAAUUGAAAAGCACGAGUGUUUCACCUUUGGAACUCAAAAUGGCAUGUCAUUCUCAGUAGAAACAUACAACCAGGACUAGACUGAAAAGCUACAAUAAUAUAGGGACUGAAUUGAAGUGUUAGAAACAGUACAGGGACUGAAACAAAACUCAACCCCCAUCACCAAACCCUAAGUACAUAAACUAACUAAACCAGCAGCCUCCUUCCACUCACACUCUCUUCUCUCUCUUUCUCAGUUCAUCCUAACAUCAUUGUCUAUUUUUUAAAAAUAAUUAAAUUAAACAGACAAAUGGCAGAGGCACUUUUAUCGCCAAUUUUGGAGCAGCUAACCACGGUCGUUGCUCGACAGGUAAUUACUUUUAUACAAUUUGCAAUGAUCUAAUUAACCCUUACAUUAAUAAGAAAUAUAAAAAUGAUCUCUUUUUCUUUCUUUAUAAGAAAAACAAAAUAAAAUAUCAAAUCCUCAGAUCUAGAUUUGGAUUUUAUUAAAGAAAUUUCUAUUUAUUGUUUUAUUAUUUUUCAUAUUUCUGGAAAUAAUCUAAAACAAAUAUUCUUAGAAGGAAAAUGGAGUUGUCGAUCCUCUCAUAAAACUGAACUACUAAGGGUAAAAUAAUCAAUCAGAUGUUAAAAUAAUAAGUUUCAUAAUCUUAUUAUAAUACCAACAAAUAUUUAUUUCCAAAUAGAUUUUACGAAUACCAACAAAUACAGAUCCUUUUAUUCUCAAUAUUUCUUUGAUCCACCAAGCUUAUGUUAUAUAUAGGUUUGACGUUGAACAAUUUAAGAUUCAUUUUCUUCCUUCUUGUAUAGUAGCAGAGUGCAGACAGAGAUAUCAUCAUGAUGAUGAUAAAAAUAAAUAUUAUUAUUUUUAAUAUAUUGGUUUUUAAUAAAUAUUUUAUAUAUAAAUUAUUAAUAUAGCCAAUCCAUUUCACAGUACGUGUCAACUACUGCGAAAAAAAACAGAUUAAUAAAAAUUAUCUAAUCUAUUAAUUACCAAAAAUUAAAAUUAAAAACUUGCAGUGAAAUCAUGGAAAUGUUUCCUCUGCUUGAACUUCUUUAUCUUUUCCACACUAAUAGGUACGAGAAGAGGCCUAGUGGGGGAUGUGAAGAAACAAGUCGACAAGCUGAAAAGCAAUCUCCUUGCUAUCCAAUCUGUCCUUGAAGAUGCAGAUAGACAACAAGUGAAGGAUAAGGCUGUAAGAGAUUGGCUAAACAAGCUCAAAGAUGUAUGUUAUGAUUUGGAUGACGUGCUCGAUGAAUGGAGCACUGCAAUUCUUAGAUGGAAAAUGGAGGAAGCUGAAGAAAAUACUCGCAGCCGACAGAAGAUGCGAUGUUCCUUCCUGAAAUCUCCUUGCUUCUGUCUCAAUCAAGUGGUUCAACGUCGCGACAUUGCCCUCAAGAUCAAAGAAGUUAGUGAAAAAGUGAAUGACAUUGCCAAAGAGAGAGCAAUGUUUGGCUUUGAGUUGUACAGAGUCACUGAUGAACUCCAGCGACUAACAACUACCUCCUUUGUUGAUGAAUCAAGCGUGAUUGGUCGAGAUGGUGAAAAGAAAAAUGUUGUAAGCAAGUUGCUGGCUGAAAGUAGUCAAAAAGCACGGGACGUGGAUGUCAUCUCUCUAGUAGGGCUGGGCGGAAUUGGAAAAACAACUCUCGCCCAACUAGCUUUUAAUGAUUCUGAGGUUACGGCUCAUUUUGAGAAAAAGAUAUGGGUGUGUGUUUCAGAUCCAUUUGAUGAGGUUAAAAUAGCCAAAGCUAUCCUUGAGCAGCUUGAAGGGAGUGCACCGAAUUUGGUUGAAUUGCAAUCCCUUUUGCAAAGGGUUUCUGAAUCCAUUAAGGGAAAGAGGUUCCUUCUUGUCCUUGAUGAUGUAUGGACAGAAAAUCAUGGACAAUGGGAAAAACUGAAACCAUCUCUCACAGGCUGUGCACGAGGAAGCAGAAUUCUAGUGACCACUCGUAAGGACGCUGUGGCAACGAUGAUGGGAAGUACUGGCCACCGGAUCAACAUUAAGGAAUUGUCCGACGAGAUAUGCAGGUCAAUAUUCAAUCAUGUGGCAUUCCAGGAAAGAAGCAAAGAUGAGCGCGAAAGAUUGACAGAUAUCGGCGAGAAGAUUGCAAGCAAGUGCAAGGGCUUGCCUCUAGCUGCCAAGGUAUUAGGAGGUCUGAUGCAGUUUAAAAGAACAAGAGAAGAGUGGGAACGUGUUUUAUCUAGCGAACUGUGGGAGCUAGAACAUGUUGAAAGGAGACUAUUUCCACCUUUGCUUUUGAGUUACUACGAUUUACCUUAUGUGGAAAGACGAUGUUUCUUGUAUUGUGCCAUGUUUCCAAAAGACUACGACAUGCGCAAAGAUGAAUUGGUGAAGAUGUGGAUGGCUCAAGGUUACCUGAAGGAGACAUCAGGUAGAGAUAUGGAGGUUGUUGGAGAGGAGUACUUUCAAGUCUUGGUAGCACGCUCUUUCUUCCAAGAUUUUAAGAAGUAUGGUCUAGAAAAUAUCAGAUUCAAGAUGCAUGAUAUAGUGCAUGAUUUUGCCCAAUAUAUGACAAAAAAUGAAUGUCUAACAGUGGAUGUCAAUACACUUGGAGGAGCAACAGUGGAGACUUCAUUUGAAAGGGUUCGUCAUUUAAGCAUGAUGCUGUCAGAGGAGACAUCUUUUCCCGUGUCUAUUCACAAAGCCAAAGGUCUUCGCAGCCUCUUGAUCGACACUAGAGACCCUUCGCUUGGAGCUGCACUGCCUGAUUUGUUCAAGCAGUUGACAUGCAUCCGGUCAUUGGAUUUGUCAAAGUCUUCUAUCAAAGAAAUACCGAACGAGGUAGGGAAAUUGAUACAUUUGAGACACCUCAAUCUGGCAUCUUGUGGAGAGUUGGAGUCCCUGCCAGAAACCAUGUGUGAUUUAUGCAAUCUGCAAUCCCUAGACGUUACUUGGUGUGGUUCUCUCAAGAAAUUGCCUAAUGCGAUUGGAAAACUUAUCAAAUUGAGGCAUCUCCGGAUUAAUGGUUCAGGUGUGGACUUCAUACCAAAGGGAAUAGAGAGGAUAGCAUGUCUUCGAACAUUAAAUGUGUUUAUUGUGUGUGGUGGUGGUGAGAAUGAAAGUAAAGCAGCUAAUCUAAGAGAAUUAAAAAACUUAAAUCACAUUGGAGGGAGUCUUGGGAUACGGAAUCUACAAGAUGCGAGUGACGCUGCAGAAGCACAACUCAAGAAUAAGAAGCGCCUGCUUCGUUUGGAAUUGGAUUUCGACUACAACCAGGAGAGCGGCAUUUUAAUUGAAGCUUUACGGCCUCCGUCUGACUUGAAAUAUCUAACCAUAUCUAGGUACGGAGGGUUGGAAUUGCCAAGUUGGAUGAUGACAUUAACCAGAUUACAGGAGCUUAUACUGUCUGAUUGUACAAAGCUGGAGGUCAUGCGUCCGUUGGGAAGAUUGCCCAACCUUGAAAGCCUGGUAUUGAGGUCGUUGAAGGUGAGAAGGCUGGAUGGUGGAUUUUUAGGUAUAGAAAAAGAUGAGAAUGCCAGUAUUAAUGAAGGAGAAAUUGCAAGGGUCACUGCUUUCCCCAAAUUAAAAACACUUUGGAUUGGUAAUCUCGAAGAAGUAGAAGAGUGGGAUGGAAUUGAAAGGAGAGUGGGAGAAGAAGAUGUCAACACAACUUCAAUAAUAUCCAUUAUGCCACAACUUCGAUGGUUGACAAUUCUUAACUGCCCGUUGCUGAGAGCACUACCAGACUAUGUUUUGGCAGCGCCUCUACGGGUAUUAGACAUAUGGGGUUGCCCCAUUCUAAGGAAACGUUACGGGAAGGAGGAGAUGGGUG
Molecule: long non-coding RNA, 7511 nt
Filed under: Populus trichocarpa (black cottonwood)
Lineage: Eukaryota; Viridiplantae; Streptophyta; Magnoliopsida; Malpighiales; Salicaceae
Description: long non-coding RNA (PTRI_LNC002969)
Source: RNAcentral